Molecule: long non-coding RNA, 386 nt
Organism: Oncorhynchus tshawytscha (Chinook salmon)
Lineage: Eukaryota; Metazoa; Chordata; Actinopteri; Salmoniformes; Salmonidae
Source: Ensembl
AGAAUGGAGAGGAGAGGUGGAAUGGAGAGGAGAGUUGAAUGGAGAGGAGAGGUGGAAUGGAGAGGAGAGGUAGAAUGGGAGGAGAGGUGGAAUGGAGAGGAGAGGUAGAAUGGAGAGGUAGAAUGGAGAGGAGAGGUAGAAUGGAGAGGAGAGGUAGAAUGGAGAGGAGAGGUAGAAUGGAGAGGAGAGGUAGAAUGGAGAGGAGAGGUAGAAUGGAGAGGAGAGGUAGAAUGGAGAGGUAGAAUGGAGAGGAGAGGUAGAAUGGAGAGGAGAGGUAGAAUGGAGAGGAGAGCUAGAAUGGGAGGAGAGGUAGAAUGGGAGGAGAGGUGGAAUGGAGAGGAGAGGUAGAAUGGAGAGGAGAGAUGGAGAGGAGAGGUAGAAUGGAG